Non-coding RNA from Cyanistes caeruleus (blue tit), 675 nucleotides. The record is from RefSeq and is a predicted model, not a curated record. NCBI's taxonomy places the organism in Eukaryota, Metazoa, Chordata, Aves, Passeriformes, Paridae.
AGAAAUGUUUUUCUAGGAUGCUCCACACAUGUGCACUGAAGGGGAGUUAGUGUUCAACUGAUGCUGUUAGCAUUAUGAAGAAAUGCUGAUCCUGACAGACACUUUGAUGUGCUAAACUGAAUCCCAGCAGGCACAGCUACCAAGAGGAGCCCUGCAAAAACACGACAAACAGUUUCUUCUGGACUCUCCCUGCCACCCAGGACUCAGAGCUCAAACACAUCUUUGCCUUGUGGUAGCACCCCCUCUCCGAUCACACACAGCCCUUCUCAGAGGGAAGGAGAGGCUCAGAGAACAGCAUCUGCACCUCAGCAAAAGUGCAUGUCCCCCUCUGCUUCCCCACAUAAUACUUUGGAAGAUUGAAGGGUGCUGGCCACAAGCCUGAGAAGAUUGAGCUUGUCCCCUCACACCACUAAUGAGAGCAUACCAAUCAACACCGUGGCUAAUUGGCUCCUCAGUCCACUGCUUCACCUUCCUGGCAGAUCUUUGAGGGUGAAAAAUUCCAGCAUUUUCAAGUUCACCUGAUUGCUGACUUCCCAAGGAAGAAGAUGUGAAGACAGAGGAGAGAGGAGCAGGACUCCCUUUAAGUGACAGGUCCUGGUCAGCCUAAUUGUGGAAGGUUUCAUUGCAAGAAUUGAAUGCUGAUCGAACCGAACCGCCCCAGCUGAGUGAAGCGUG